GACGAACGCUGGCGGCAUGCCUAAUACAUGCAAGUCGAGCGAACGGAUGAAGUGCUUGCACCUCUGACGUUAGCGGCGAACGGGUGAGUAACACGUAAGGAAUCUACCUAUAAGCGGGGGAUAACAUUCGGAAACGGGUGCUAAUACCGCAUAAUAUCUUCUUCCGCAUGGAAGAAGAUUGAAAGACGGCUCUGCUGUCACUUAUAGAUGACCUUGCGGUGCAUUAGUUAGUUGGUGGGGUAAUGGCCUACCAAGACGAUGAUGCAUAGCCGACCUGAGAGGGUGAUCGGCCACAUUGGGACUGAGACACGGCCCAAACUCCUACAGGAGGCAGCAGUAGGGAAUCUUCCGCAAUGGGCGAAAGCCUGACGGAGCAAUGCCGCGUGAGUGAAGAAGGCCUCCGGGUCGUAAAACUCUGUUAUAAGAGAAGAACAAAUUGUAGAGUAACUGCUACAGUCUUGACGGUAUCUUAUCAGAAAGCCACGGCUAACUACGUGCCAGCCGCCGCAGUAA
RNAcentral lists this ribosomal RNA (513 nucleotides) under uncultured bacterium. Its description in RNAcentral is "partial 16S ribosomal RNA". It matches the Rfam family "Bacterial small subunit ribosomal RNA", at positions 28 to 523 of the family's 1533-position model. The record is from RNAcentral.